UGGCGGACGGGUGAGUAACGCGUGGGUAACCUACCUCAUACAGGGGGAUAACAGUUGGAAACGACCGCUAAUACCGCAUAAGCCAACAGAACCGCAUGGUUUAGUUGGAAAAGAUUGAUCGGUAUGAGAUGGACCCGCGUCUGAUUAGCCAGUUGGCAGGGUAACGGCCUACCAAAGCAACGAUCAGUAGCCGGCCUGAGAGGGUGAACGGCCACAUUGGGACUGAGACACGGCCCAAACUCCUACGGAAGGCAGCAG
This 258-nucleotide ribosomal RNA is filed under the name uncultured bacterium. RNAcentral's name for it is "partial 16S ribosomal RNA". It matches the Rfam family "Bacterial small subunit ribosomal RNA", at positions 96 to 354 of the family's 1533-position model. The record is from RNAcentral.